Molecule: ribosomal RNA, 492 nt
Filed under: uncultured bacterium
Lineage: Bacteria
Description: partial 16S ribosomal RNA
Rfam family: Bacterial small subunit ribosomal RNA
Source: RNAcentral
AGUGAACGCUGGCGGUAGGCCUAACACAUGCAAGUCGAACGGCAGCACAGUAACAGCUUGCUCUUACGGGUGGCGAGUGGCGGACGGGUGAGGAAUACAUCGGAAUCUACUUUUUCGUGGGGGAUAACGUAGGGAAACUUACGCUAAUACCGCAUACGACCUACGGGUGAAAGCAGGGGAUCUUCGGACCUUGCGCGAUUGAAUGAGCCGAUGUCGGAUUAGCUAGUUGGCGGGGUAAAGGCCCACCAAGGCGACGAUCCGUAGCUGGUCUGAGAGGAUGAUCAGCCACACUGGAACUGAGACACGGUCCAGACUCCUACGGGAGGCAGCAGUGGGGAAUAUUGGACAAUGGGCGCAAGCCUGAUCCAGCCAUACCGCGUGGGUGAAGAAGGCCUUCGGGUUGUAAAGCCCCUUUGUUGGGAAAGAAAAGCAGCAGGUUAAUACCCCGCUGUUCUGACGGUACCCAAAGAAUAAGCACCGGCUAACUUCGUG